GACGAACCGUGCGAACGUUGUUCGGAAUCACUGGGCUUAAAGGGCGCGUAGGCGGGCAUCUAAGUCCGUGGUGAAAUCCCCCAGCCCAACUGGGGAACGGCCGCGGAUACUGGGUGCCUCGAGGGGGGUAGGGGCGUGCGGAACAGAUGGUGGAGCGGUGAAAUGCGUUGAUAUCAUCUGGAACUCCGGUGGCGAAGGCGGCACGCUGGACCUCUUCUGACGCUGAGGCGCGAAAGCCAGGGGAGCGAACGGG
RNAcentral lists this ribosomal RNA (253 nucleotides) under uncultured bacterium. RNAcentral's name for it is "partial 16S ribosomal RNA". It matches the Rfam family "Bacterial small subunit ribosomal RNA", at positions 524 to 776 of the family's 1533-position model. RNAcentral also lists the same sequence under 1 other name. The record is from RNAcentral.